Molecule: non-coding RNA, 88 nt
Organism: Zopfochytrium polystomum
Lineage: Eukaryota; Fungi; Chytridiomycota; Chytridiomycetes; Chytridiales; Chytridiaceae
Source: the annotation of a GenBank genome assembly
GUUGCCUUGGUGCAAUUGGUUAGCCCAUGCAGUUGUUAGACAUGUACAGCAAACUGCAAGGUUGGUGGGUCAAGUCCUCCGAGUAGUG